RNAcentral lists this ribosomal RNA (478 nucleotides) under uncultured bacterium. RNAcentral's name for it is "partial 16S ribosomal RNA". It matches the Rfam family "Bacterial small subunit ribosomal RNA", at positions 28 to 507 of the family's 1533-position model. The record is from RNAcentral.
GAUGAACGCUCGCGGCAGGCCUAACACAUGCAAGUUGAGGGAGAAGCCCUUUCGGGGGCCGAAACCGGCGCACGGGUGCGUAACGCGUAUGCAACCUACCUUUCACAGGGGGAUAGCCCGAAGAAAUUUGGAUUAAUACCCCAUAAUAUUAUUGGAUGGCAUCAUUUGAUAAUUAAAACUGCGGUGGUGAAAGAUGGGCAUGCGUCCUAUUAGCUAGUUGGAGUGGUAACGGCACCCCAAGGCUACGAUAGGUAGGGGUCCUGAGAGGGAGAUCCCCCACACUGGUACUGAGACAGGGACCAGACUCCUACGGGAGGCAGCAGUGAGGAAUAUUGGUCAAUGGUCGGAAGACUGAACCAGCCAUGCCGCGUGCAGGAAGAAUGCCUUAUGGGUUGUAAACUGCUUUUAUAUGGGAAGAAUAAGGCGUACGUGUACGUUGAUGACGGUACCAUAUGAAUAAGCAUCGGCUAACUCCGUG